AUGCACGCUGGCGGCGUGCCUAAUACAUGCAAGUCGCGCGAACGGACGAGAAGCUUGCUUUUCUGAUGUUAGCGGCGGACGGGUGAGUAACACGUGGAUAACCUACCUAUAAGACUGGGAUAACUUCGGGAAACCGGAGCUAAUACCGGAUAAUAUUUUGAACCGCAUGGUUCAAAAGUGAAAGACGGUCUUGCUGUCACUUAUAGAUGGAUCCGCGCUGCAUUAGCUAGUUGGUAAGGUAACGGCUUACCAAGGCAACGAUGCAUAGCCGACCUGAGAGGGUGAUCGGCCACACUGGAACUGAGACACGGUCAAGACUCCUACGGGAGGCAGCAGGAGGGAAUCUUCCGCAAUGGGCGAAAGCCUGACGGAGCAACGCCGCGUGAGUGAUGAAGGUCUUCGGAUCGUAAAACUCUGUUAUUAGGGAAGAACAUAUGUGUAAGUAACUGUGCACAUCUUGACGGUACCUAAUCAGAAAGCCACGGCUAACUACGUG
Molecule: ribosomal RNA, 496 nt
Filed under: uncultured bacterium
Lineage: Bacteria
Description: partial 16S ribosomal RNA
Rfam family: Bacterial small subunit ribosomal RNA
Source: RNAcentral